RNAcentral lists this ribosomal RNA (253 nucleotides) under uncultured bacterium. Its description in RNAcentral is "partial 16S ribosomal RNA". It matches the Rfam family "Bacterial small subunit ribosomal RNA", at positions 524 to 776 of the family's 1533-position model. The record is from RNAcentral.
UACGUAGGGCGCAAGCGUUGUCCGGAAUUAUUGGGCGUAAAGAGCUCGUAGGCGGUUUGUCGCGUCUGCUGUGAAAACCUAAGGCUCAACCUUGGGCUUGCAGUGGGUACGGGCAGACUAGAGUGCGGUAGGGGUGACUGGAAUUCCUGGUGUAGCGGUGGAAUGCGCAGAUAUCAGGAGGAACACCGAUGGCGAAGGCAGGUCACUGGGCCGCAACUGACACUGAGGAGCGAAAGCAUGGGGAGCGAACAGG